AUUGAACGCUGGCGGCAGGCCUAACACAUGCAAGUCGAGCGGAUGAAGGGAGCUUGCUCCUGGAUUCAGCGGCGGACGGGUGAGUAAUGCCUAGGAAUCUGCCUGGUAGUGGGGGAUAACGUCCGGAAACGGGCGCUAAUACCGCAUACGUCCUGAGGGAGAAAGUGGGGGAUCUUCGGACCUCACGCUAUCAGAUGAGCCUAGGUCGGAUUAGCUAGUUGGUGGGGUAAAGGCCUACCAAGGCGACGAUCCGUAACUGGUCUGAGAGGAUGAUCAGUCACACUGGAACUGAGACACGGUCCAGACUCCUACGGGAGGCAGCAGUGGGGAAUAUUGGACAAUGGGCGAAAGCCUGAUCCAGCCAUGCCGCGUGUGCGAAGGAGGUCUUCGGAUUGUAAAGCACUUUAAGUUGGGAGGAAGGGCAGUAAGUUAAUACCUUGCUGUUUUGACGUUACCAACAGAAUAAGCACCGGCUAACUUCGUG
RNAcentral lists this ribosomal RNA (484 nucleotides) under uncultured bacterium. RNAcentral describes it as "partial 16S ribosomal RNA". It matches the Rfam family "Bacterial small subunit ribosomal RNA", at positions 30 to 507 of the family's 1533-position model. The record is from RNAcentral.